Molecule: ribosomal RNA, 215 nt
Filed under: uncultured Desulfovibrio sp.
Lineage: Bacteria; Pseudomonadati; Thermodesulfobacteriota; Desulfovibrionia; Desulfovibrionales; Desulfovibrionaceae
Description: partial 16S ribosomal RNA
Rfam family: Bacterial small subunit ribosomal RNA
Source: RNAcentral
AAGGUGGGGAGUGACGUCAAGUCAGCAUGGCCUUUAUGUCUAGGGCUACACACGUACUACAAUGGCCGGUACAAAGGGCAGCCACUCAGCGAUGAGGCGCUAAUCCCAAUAAAGCCGGUCUCAGUCCGGAUCGCAGUCUGCAACUCGACUGCGUGAAGUUGGAAUCGCUAGUAAUCGUAGAUCAGCAUGCUACGGUGAAUACGUUCCCGGGCCUU